RNAcentral lists this ribosomal RNA (452 nucleotides) under Eurhynchium savatieri. Its description in RNAcentral is "eukaryotic LSU rRNA". The stretch from base 1 to 125 matches the Rfam family "5.8S ribosomal RNA", at positions 29 to 154 of the family's 154-position model. Lineage: Eukaryota; Viridiplantae; Streptophyta; Bryopsida; Hypnales; Brachytheciaceae. The record is from RNAcentral.
UGCAUCGAUGAAGAACGCAGCGAAAUGCGAUACGUAGUGUGAAUUGCAGAAUUCCGCGAAUCAUCGAGUCUUUGAACGCAAGUUGCGCCCGAGGCUUGUCCGAGGGCAUUUCCGCUAGAGCGUCACCGCGCCCCCCACCGAUCCACACUCCCGCCGCGAGGCGCUAGUUUGCUUGAGGGUCGAGUGGAAGUGGCCGUCCCGGCGCGAGAAGGCUAAGGGUCGGCUGAAAUGGAUGGAAUUGGGCCGCCGUGGUGACACAGUCCGCGAUCGGGUGAUUUUGUCGCGAGCCUCCCGAGGUUCGCCGUGAAUUUUUCUAAGUGCGUGGCUGCGUCCCCCAGUUGGCUUUGGUUACCUCGAGCAGGUCGAGCGCGCCCCAGCGGCGCGCGUCACGCAUCAGACCUCUAAUCGGAAAAGACUACCCGCUGAGUUUAAGCAUAUCAAUAAGCGGAGGA